RNAcentral lists this long non-coding RNA (898 nucleotides) under Callithrix jacchus (white-tufted-ear marmoset). Its description in RNAcentral is "lncRNA (ENSCJAG00000085903.1)". The record is from RNAcentral. Lineage: Eukaryota; Metazoa; Chordata; Mammalia; Primates; Cebidae.
UGAGGUAGCCUGAAGAUAAGGUACUGGAUCAAUUCAGGCAGUGGGUGAGUAUCAGGCUAAGGGAGCCAGCCAGACCUGUGUCUAUAUAGCAGUCCCUUUCCUUCUAUAUAACUUUAAUUGCCUCACUUAACCUUACUAAGCCUCAAUUUCCUGCUCUGCAAAAUGAGGGCAGUCAUCAUGCCUACCCCAAGACGAUUGAGAUGAUGUAAUAUUCUGAAUAUGAAUUGAGGUGGGGAACAUUUUAUUUUCUUUGAAGUUGGUACAAGAGAGAGCCUCUGAUGUGAAAAGAACACCUUGAUUAGCUCACUUGGGGUUCAGCACCAGGGCCUGGGUAUCAACUGUAUCCAGGCUUCAGAGGCAGACAGAAACUGCACACAAAGGAAAGGAAGAAGAAAUGGGAAGGGCGGUGGGAGUAGGGACUGUGUGGUCAGGAGAUGGUGACAGAAGGAAAGGGCAAAUAAUAUGGGCAAUGGUGUGCAGGCACUCUUCCAAGUGACCUUUCCCCCCAAAUCUUCCAGAGUCUGAAACACUCAAGAACUGCCUGGUGAAGUGGUAUUCUUCAUGGACACUCGAUCCUUGAAUUCAACUGGCAUAGGUCCCAGAGACAGGCGACAGGGGAGGGGAACCCUGUAACUCUUGCAGAAGGAAAGUAUCCAAUAGGAAAGACAAUCUAACCAUGAAAAAGGAACUCAGGAAACAAAAAACAUGUAGAACAGAAGAAAAUUCUUUUUAAAAACAAACUCGGGGAGGACUCAAGAUGGCGCUGUGAGAACAACCCAGGAUUGGAGCUCUCCUUGAAUCCGCGGAGAGGGACAUGGAUGAAUCUGGAGAACAUCAUCCUCAGCAAACUGACACAAGAACAGAAAAUGAAACACCGCAUAUUCUCACUCAUAGGUGG